RNAcentral lists this ribosomal RNA (876 nucleotides) under uncultured archaeon. RNAcentral's name for it is "bacterial SSU rRNA". It matches the Rfam family "Archaeal small subunit ribosomal RNA", at positions 22 to 903 of the family's 1478-position model. The record is from RNAcentral.
GGCUACCGCUAUUGGAGUUCGAUUAAGCCAUGCGAGUCGCGAGUCUUAGGGACUCGGCGUACCGCUCAGUAACACGUGGGUAACCUGCCCUAUGCUGGGGGAUAACCUCGGGAAACUGAGAAUAAUACCCCAUAGUUCACCACGCCUGGAACGGUGGGUGGACCAAAGCUCCGGCGGCAUAGGAUGGGCCUGCGGCGUAUCAGGUUGUAGGGGGUGUAAUGUACCCUCUAGCCCUCUACGCGUACGGGUGUUGAGAGACAUCGCCCGGAGAUGGAUUCUGAGACACGAAUCCAGACCCCACGGGGUGCAGCAGGCGCGAAAACUUGGCAAUGCGAGAAAUCGUGACCAGGGAACUCCAAGUGCAUCGGGUAAGACCGAUGCUUUUCUUGACUCUUCAAAGGUCUUGGAAUAAGGGGUGGGUAAGGACGGUGCCAGCCGCCGCGGUAAUACCGGCGCCCCAAGUGGUAGUCGCUUUUAUUGGGCCUAAAACGUCCGUAGCCGGUCUGGUACAUUCGUGGGUAAAUCAACCAGCUCAACUGGUUGAAUUCUGCAAGCACGGCCAGACUUGGGACCGGGAGAGGUGUGGGGUACUCUCAGGGUAGGGGUAAAAUCCUGUCAUCCUGAGAGGACCACCUGUUGCGAAGGCGCCACACUAGAACGGAUCCGACGGUCAGGGACGAAGCCUAGGGGCACGAACCGGAUUAGAUACCCGGGUAGUCCUAGGUGUAAACGCUGUGGACUUGAUGUUGGGGGCGCUCCGAGCGCACUCAGUGUCGAAGCGAAGGUGAUAAGUCCACUGCCUGGGGAGUACGGUCGCAAGGCUGAAACUUAAAGGAAUUGGCGGGGGAGCACCGCAACCUGAGGAUUGUGCGGUUU